RNAcentral lists this ribosomal RNA (734 nucleotides) under uncultured archaeon. Its description in RNAcentral is "bacterial SSU rRNA". It matches the Rfam family "Archaeal small subunit ribosomal RNA", at positions 136 to 874 of the family's 1478-position model. The record is from RNAcentral.
UCCAAUGGGUAUAAUCCCCGAUAGAUCUCGGUCGCUGGAAAGCCCCGAGACGAAAGCUCCGGCGCCAGAGGAUGGGUCUGCGGCCUAUCAGGUAGUAGUGGGUGUAGCGUACCUACUAGCCUACGACGGGUACGGGUUGUGAGAGCAAGAGCCCGGAGAUGGAUUCUGAGACACGAAUCCAGGCCCUACGGGGUGCAGCAGGCGCGAAAACUUUACAAUGCCGGGAACGGCAAUAAGGGGACCUCGAGUGCCAGGUUACAAAUCUGGCUGUCGUGAUGCCUAAAAAGCAUUGCAUAGCAAGGGCCGGGCAAGACCGGUGCCAGCCGCCGCGGUAACACCGGCGGCUCGAGUGGUAACCGUUAUUAUUGGGUCUAAAGGGUCUGUAGCCGGCCGGAUAAGUCUCUUGAGAAAUCCGGCAGCUCAACUGUUGGGCUUUCAGGAGAUACUGUCUGGCUCGAGGCCGGGAGAGGUGAGAGGUACUUCAGGGGUAGGGGUGAAAUCUUGUAAUCCUUGAAGGACCACCAGUGGCGAAGGCGUCUCACCAGAACGGACCUGACGGCAAGGGACGAAAGCUAGGGGCACGAACCGGAUUAGAUACCCGGGUAGUCCUAGCCGUAAACGAUACUCGCUAGGUGUCGGCCACGGUGCGACCGUUGUCGGUGCCGUAGGGAAGCCGUGAAGCGAGCCACCUGGGAAGUACGGCCGCAAGCUGAAACUUAAAGAAUUGGCGGGGG